RNAcentral lists this ribosomal RNA (459 nucleotides) under uncultured bacterium. Its description in RNAcentral is "partial 16S ribosomal RNA". It matches the Rfam family "Bacterial small subunit ribosomal RNA", at positions 338 to 795 of the family's 1533-position model. The record is from RNAcentral.
CCUACGGGGUGCAGCAGUGAGGAAUAUUGGUCAAUGGCCGCAGGGCUGAACCAGCCAAGUCGCGUGAGGGAUGACGGUCCUAUGGAUUGUAAACCUCUUUUGUCAGGGAGCAAAGGGCGCCACGUGUGGCGCUUUGCGAGUACCUGAAGAAAAAGCAUCGGCUAACUCCGUGCCAGCAGCCGCGGUAAUACGGAGGAUGCGAGCGUUAUCCGGAUUUAUUGGGUUUAAAGGGUGCGCAGGCGGAAUGUCAAGUCAGCGGUAAAAUUUCGGGGCUCAACCCCGUCGUGCCGUUGAGACUGGCGUUCUUGAGUGAGCGAGAAGUAUGCGGAAUGCGUGGUGUAGCGGUGAAAGGCAUAGAUAUCACGCAGAACUCCGAUUGCGAAGGCAGCAUACCGGCGCUCAACUGACGCUCAUGCACGAAAGCGUGGGUAUCGAACAGGAUUAGAUACCCGUGUAGUC